This 67-nucleotide ribosomal RNA is filed under the name Senecio franchetii. RNAcentral describes it as "partial 5.8S ribosomal RNA". It matches the Rfam family "5.8S ribosomal RNA", at positions 1 to 64 of the family's 154-position model. Rfam says of the family: 5.8S ribosomal RNA (5.8S rRNA) is a component of the large subunit of the eukaryotic ribosome. RNAcentral also lists the same sequence under 1 other name. The record is from RNAcentral. Lineage: Eukaryota; Viridiplantae; Streptophyta; Magnoliopsida; Asterales; Asteraceae.
AACGACUCUCGGCAACGGAUAUCUCGGCUCACGCAUCGAUGAAGAACGUAGCAAAAUGCGAUACUUG